This 468-nucleotide ribosomal RNA is filed under the name uncultured bacterium. RNAcentral describes it as "partial 16S ribosomal RNA". It matches the Rfam family "Bacterial small subunit ribosomal RNA", at positions 28 to 507 of the family's 1533-position model. The record is from RNAcentral.
GACGAACGCUGGCGGCGUGCUUAACACAUGCAAGUCGAACGGAAAGGCCCUGCUUUUGUGGGCUGCUCGAGUGGCCAACGGGUGAGUAACACGUGAGUAACCUGUCCUUGACUGUGGGAUAACUUCAGGAAGCUGGGGCUAAUACCGGAUAGGAGCUCCUGCUUCAUGGUGGGGGCGGGAUAGUUUCGGCGGUUGGGGAUGGACUCGCGGCUUAUCAGCUUGUUGGGUGGGUAGUGUCUUACCAAGGCUUUGACGGGUAGCAGACCUGGGAGGAUAAGCGGCCACAUUGGAACUGGAAUGCGGCCCAGACCCCUCUGGGACGCAGGGGUGGAGAAUGUUGCAUAAGGGGAGGAAGCCUAGUGCAGCAAAGCCGCGUGGGGGGUGAGGGCAUGGGGGUAGUGAUCCGAUGCUGCUUGAGACGAGGCGUGAGUGACGGUAACGGGUAAAGAAGCACCGGCUAACUACGUG